Molecule: ribosomal RNA, 1254 nt
Filed under: Iphione sp. YZ-2018
Lineage: Eukaryota; Metazoa; Annelida; Polychaeta; Phyllodocida; Iphionidae
Description: 16S ribosomal RNA
Rfam family: Bacterial large subunit ribosomal RNA
Source: RNAcentral
UUUUUCCUUCCUCAAACUAUAUUUAUUAGAUAUUUCCAAAUAAAACAUUUACCUCAAUCAACCCGCGCACUACCCUCAUAAAUAAAUACCGCAAGGGACAUGAAUAAAAUAAAACCAGUCAAGCUUACCCCUUGUACCUUUUGCAUCAUGGCUCAGCAAGUAAAACCACAAAUUCACCACCCCGAAAUCGAAGCGAGCUAACCCACUCUUGUUUGGAACCCACAGAAUUUUGUAUCAAAAAAAUCCGAAAAGAUUUAGUUAGAGGCUACAUACCUACCGCGCUCGAUAAUAGCUGGUUGCUCUAUAAAUUAAUAAAAGUUAUACUUUCUACACAGAACAGUCAAAUUUUUUAGGAUAAGCUAAAAAAUUAAUAUCUAUGAAAUAUAAAAAUCACCUCCAAAAAAAGGCCUAACAUCAGCCCUUUUUACUCAAUGUUAUAAUGCAAGACUAAAUAAAAUUAUAAUACUAAUUAUUCAUGCUACCUUUAUAGACACAUGUGCCAAAACAAAAUUUAGGCUAAAAUAUACUGCUGAGAUUAGUAUUACUCUACAUUUCCCCCAUAGUUUAUAAUAUAUGGUUUAAAGGAACUCUGCAAAACCCUCAUCCGACUGUUUAACAAAAACAUUGCCUUUGGCUAAAUUAAUCAAAGGUAUAUCCUGCCCAGUGACAAUUAAACGGCCGCGGUACCCUAACCGUGCAAAGGUAGCAUAAUCACUUGCCUCUUAAUUAGAGGCUAGAAUGAACGGAUCAACGAGAUGCAACCUGUCUCUAACCCAUACCUAAAAAUUAGAUUUCAGGUGAAGAUACCUGAAUACCAUUAAAAGACAAGAAGACCCUAUAGAGUUUAAUCUUUCCGUGGUCUUCCAUAUGAAAGCUUUAGUUGGGGCGACUAAGGAAAAAACAAAUCUUCCUUUAAUCACACGACUUUUAGUCCACCCAUUGACCCCGCUACGCGGAGUAACAGAAUUAACUACCUUAGGGAUAACAGGCUUAUCUUCCUAAAGAGUCCAAAUCGAAAGGAAGGUUUGGCACCUCGAUGUUGGCUUAGAGUAUCCUAAUGGAGCAGAUCCCAUUAAAGGUUAGUUUGUUCAACUAUUAAAACUCUACAUGAGCUGAGUUCAGACCGGCGUGAGCCAGGUUAGUUUCUAUCUUUAACAAAAAAAAUCAUCUAAUAGUACGAAAGGACCUUAGAUAGAAGAACCUUUCUAUUUCCACGAAGUCCUAUAAACUCACGUUCAUCCAUCUAUACAACCU